RNAcentral lists this ribosomal RNA (468 nucleotides) under uncultured bacterium. RNAcentral's name for it is "partial 16S ribosomal RNA". It matches the Rfam family "Bacterial small subunit ribosomal RNA", at positions 28 to 507 of the family's 1533-position model. The record is from RNAcentral.
GACGAACGCUGGCGGCGUGCUUAACACAUGCAAGUCGAACGGAAAGGCCCUGCUUUUGUGGGGUGCCCGAGUGGCGAACGGGUGAGUAACACGUGAGUAACCUGCCCUUGACUUUGGGAUAACUGCAGGAAACUGGGGCUAAUACCGGAUAGGAGCUCCUGCUGCAUGGUGGGGGUUGGAAAGUUUCGGCGGUUGGGGAUGGACUCGCGGCUUAUCAGCUUGUUGGUGGGGUAGUGGCUUACCAAGGCUUUGACGGGUAGCCGGCCUGAGAGGGUGACCGGCCACAUUGGGACUGAGAUACGGCCCAGACUCCUACGGGAGGCAGCAGUGGGGAAUAUUGCACAAUGGGCGGAAGCCUGAUGCAGCAACGCCGCGUGCGGGAUGACGGCCUUCGGGUUGUAAACCGCUUUCGCCUGUGACGAAGCGUGAGUGACGGUAAUGGGUAAAGAAGCACCGGCUAACUACGUG